UUCCGGUUGAUCCUGCCGGACCCUACUGCUAUCGGGGUGGGACUAAGACAUGCGAGUUGAGCGUCUCUAAGCCAUGGUAGAGACGCGGCGUACGGCUCAGUAACACGUGGCUAACCUACCCUUAGGACGGGGACAACCCCGGGAAACUGGGGCUAAUACCCGAUAGGCGAGGAGGCCUGGAAUGGUUCUUAGUCGAAAAGGCGUUGAAACCAUGCUUUUCGACGUUGCCUAAGGAUGGGGCCGCGCCCGAUCAGGUUGUUGGUGGGGUAACGGCUCACCAAGCCUAUAACCGGUACGGGCCGUGAGAGCGGGAGCCCGGAGAUGGGCACUGAGACAAGGGCCCAGGCCCUACGGGGCGCAGCAGUCGCGAAAACUCCGCAAUGCGCGAAAGCGUGACGGGGCUACCCCGAGUGCCGUCCGCUGAGGAUGGCUUUUCUCCGGUGUAAUGAGCCGGGGGAAUAAGGAGAGGGCAAGUCUGGUGUCAGCCGCCGCGGUAAUACCAGCUCUCCGAGUGGUAGGGAUGAUUAUUGGGCUUAAAGCGUCCGUAGCCGGCUUAGCAAGUCUCCUGUUAAAUUCAGCGACCUAAUCGUUGAGCCGCGGGAGAUACUACUAGGCUAGGAGGCGGGAGAGGCCGACGGUAUUCUCGGGGUAGGGGUGAAAUCCUAUAAUCCCGGGAGGACUACCAGUGGCGAAGGCUGUCGGCUAGAACGCGCUCGACGGUGAGGGACGAAAGCUGGGGGAGCGAACCGGAUUAGAUACCCGGGUAGUCCCAGAUGUAAACGAUGCGGGCUAGGUGUUGGGGUGGCUACGAGCCACUUCAGUGCCGCAGGGAAGCCGUUAAGCCCGCCGCCUGGGGAGUACGGCCGCAAGGCUGAAACUUAAAGGAAUUGGCGGGGGAGCACCACAAGGCGUGAAGCUUGCGGUUCAAUUGGAUUCAACGCCGGG
Molecule: ribosomal RNA, 945 nt
Filed under: uncultured archaeon
Lineage: Archaea
Description: bacterial SSU rRNA
Rfam family: Archaeal small subunit ribosomal RNA
Source: RNAcentral